GACGAACGCUGGCGGCGUGCUUAACACAUGCAAGUCGAACGGAAAGGCCCUGCUUUUGUGGGGUGCUCGAGUGGCGAACGGGUGAGUAACACGUGAGUAACCUGCCCUUGACUUUGGGAUAACUUCAGGAAACUGGGGCUAAUACCGGAUAGGAGCUCCUGCUGCAUGGUGGGGGUUGGAAAGUUUCGGCGGUUGGGGAUGGACUCGCGGCUUAUCAGCUUGUUGGUGGGGUAGUGGCUUACCAAGGCUUUGACGGGUAGCCGGCCUGGGAGGGCGACCGGCCACAUUGGGACGGGGAUACGGCCAGGACUCAUACGGGAGGCAGCAGUGGGGAUUUUGGCACAAUGGGCGGAGGCAGGAGGCAGCAACGCCGCGUGCGGGAGGACGGCCUUCGGGUUGUAAACCGCUUUCGCCUGUGACGAAGCGUGGGUGAGGGUAAUGGGUAAGAAGCACCGGCUAACUACGUG
Molecule: ribosomal RNA, 467 nt
Filed under: uncultured bacterium
Lineage: Bacteria
Description: partial 16S ribosomal RNA
Rfam family: Bacterial small subunit ribosomal RNA
Source: RNAcentral